GAUGAACGCUAGCUACAGGCUUAACACAUGCAAGUCGAGGGGAAACGAUAGAGAAAGCUUGCUUUUUCUAGGCGUCGACCGGCGCACGGGUGAGUAACGCGUAUCCAACCUGCCCAUCACUUGGGGAUAACCUUGCGAAAGUAAGACUAAUACCCAAUGACGUCUCUAGAAGACAUCUGAAGGAGAUUAAAGAUUUAUCGGUGAUGGAUGGGAUGCGUCUGAUUAGCUUGUUGGCGGGGUAACGGCCCACCAAGGCGACGAUCAGUAGGGGUUCUGAGAAGAAGGUCCCCCACAAUGGAACUGAGACACGGGGCAAACUCAUACGGGAGGCAGCAGUGGGGAAUAUUGGUAAAUGGACGAGAGUCUGAACCAGCCAAGUAGCGUGCAGGAAGACGGCCCUAUGGGUUGUAAACUGCUUUUAUAAGGGAAUAAAGUGAGUCUCGUGAGACUUUUUGCAUGUACCUUAUGAAUAAGGACCGGCUAAUUCCGUGCCAGCCGCCGCCGUAA
RNAcentral lists this ribosomal RNA (507 nucleotides) under uncultured bacterium. Its description in RNAcentral is "partial 16S ribosomal RNA". It matches the Rfam family "Bacterial small subunit ribosomal RNA", at positions 28 to 523 of the family's 1533-position model. The record is from RNAcentral.